UGCGCAGGCGGUUUUGUAAGACCGAUGUGAAAUCCCCGGGCUCAACCUGGGAACUGCAUUGGUGACUGCAAGGCUGGAGUGCGGCAGAGGGGGAUGGAAUUCCGCGUGUAGCAGUGAAAUGCGUAGAUAUGCGGAGGAACACCGAUGGCGAAGGCAAUCCCCUGGGCCUGCACUGACGCUCAUGCACGAAAGCGUGGGGAGCAAACA
Molecule: ribosomal RNA, 207 nt
Filed under: uncultured Allobrachymonas sp.
Lineage: Bacteria; Pseudomonadati; Pseudomonadota; Betaproteobacteria; Burkholderiales; Comamonadaceae
Description: uncultured Brachymonas sp. partial 16S ribosomal RNA
Rfam family: Bacterial small subunit ribosomal RNA
Source: RNAcentral